UAGGGAAUCUUCCGCAAUGGGCGAAAGCCUGACGGAGCAACGCCGCGUGAGUGAUGAAGGUCUUCGGAUCGUAAAACUCUGUUAUUAGGGAAGAACAAAUGUGUAAGUAACUAUGCACGUCUUGACGGUACCUAAUCAGAAAGCUACGGCUAACUACGUGCCAGCAGCCGCGGUAAUACGUAGGUGGCAAGCGUUAUCCGGAAUUAUUGGGCGUAAAGCGCGCGUAGGCGGUUUUUUAAGUCUGAUGUGAAAGCCAACGGCUCAACCGUGGAGGGUCAUUGGAAACUGGAAAACUUGAGUGCAGAAGAGGAAAGUGGAAUUCCAUGUGUAGCGGUGAAAUGCGCAGAGAUAUGGAGGAACACCAGUGGCGAAGGCGACUUUCUGGUCUGUAACUGACGCUGAUGUGCGAAAGCGUGGGGAUCAAACAGG
This 429-nucleotide ribosomal RNA is filed under the name Actinomycetes bacterium. Its description in RNAcentral is "Actinobacteria bacterium partial 16S ribosomal RNA". It matches the Rfam family "Bacterial small subunit ribosomal RNA", at positions 355 to 776 of the family's 1533-position model. The record is from RNAcentral. Lineage: Bacteria; Bacillati; Actinomycetota; Actinomycetes.